This 472-nucleotide ribosomal RNA is filed under the name uncultured bacterium. RNAcentral describes it as "bacterial SSU rRNA". It matches the Rfam family "Bacterial small subunit ribosomal RNA", at positions 28 to 507 of the family's 1533-position model. The record is from RNAcentral.
GAUGAACGCUGGCGGCGUGCUUAACACAUGCAAGUCGAACGGACCAUAUUCGUAUGGUUAGUGGCAGACGGGUGCGUAACACGUGGGUGACCUGCCCUUAAGUGGGGAAUAACUCCGCUAACGCGGAGCUAAUACCGCAUAUGUUCGCUCAUUCGGUUGGGCGAGUAAAGCAGCAAUGCGCUUAGGGAUGGGCCUGCGGCGGAUUAGGUAGUUGGUGGGGUAACGGCCCACCAGGGCGACGAUGGCUAGGGGGUCUGAGAGGACGAUCCCCCACACUGGUACUGAGACACGGACCAGACUCCUACGGGAGGCAGCAGUGAGGAAUAUUGGUCAAUGGGCGGAAGCCUGAACCAGCCAUGCCGCGUGCAGGAUGACGGCCCUACGGGUUGUAAACUGCUUUUCCCCGGGGCGAAUAACCCCCUCGCGAGGGGGGAUGCCGGUACCGGGGGAAUAAGGAUCGGCUAACUCCGUG